GAUGAACGCUGGCGGCGUGCCUAAUACAUGCAAGUAGAACGCUGAAGGAAGGAGCUUGCUCUUUCCGGAUGAGUUGCGAACGGGUGAGUAACGCGUAGGUAACCUGCCUGGUAGCGGGGGAUAACUAUUGGAAACGAUAGCUAAUACCGCAUAACAGUAGAUGUUGCAUGAUAUCUACUUAAAAGGUGCAAUUGCACCACUACCAGAUGGACCUGCGUUGUAUUAGCUAGUUGGUGAGGUAACGGCUCACCAAGGCGACGAUACAUAGCCGACCUGAGAGGGUGAUCGGCCACACUGGGACUGAGACACGGCCCAGACUCCUACGGGAGGCAGCAGUAGGGAAUCUUCGGCAAUGGACGGAAGGCUGACCGAGCAACGCCGCGUGAGUGAAGAAGGGUUUCGGAUCGUAAAGCUCCGUUGUAAGAGAAGAACGAGUGUGAGAGUGGAAAGUUCACACUGUGACGGUAGCUUACCAGAAAGGGACGGCUAACUACGUG
Molecule: ribosomal RNA, 497 nt
Filed under: uncultured bacterium
Lineage: Bacteria
Description: partial 16S ribosomal RNA
Rfam family: Bacterial small subunit ribosomal RNA
Source: RNAcentral